UGGGGAAUAUUGCACAAUGGGCGCAAGCCUGAUGCAGCCAUGCCGCGUGUGUGAAGAAGGCCUCGGGUUGUAAAGCACUUUCAGCGAGGAGGAAGGUGGUGAACUUAAUACGUUCAUCAAUUGACGUUACUCGCAGAAGAAGCACCGGCUAACUCCGUGCCAGCAGCCGCGGCAAUACGGAGGGUGCAAGCGUUAAUCGGAAUUACUGGGCGUAAAGCGCACGCAGGCGGUUUGUUAAGUCAGAUGUGAAAUCCCCGGCUCAACCUGGGAACUGCAUUUGAAACUGGCAAGCUAGAGUCUCNUAGAGGGGGGUAGAAUUCCAGGUGUAGCGGUGAAAUGCGUAGAGAUCUGGAGGAAUACCGGUGGCGAAGGCGGCCCCCUGACGAAGACUGACGCUCAGGUGCGAAAAGCGUGGGGAGCAAACAGGAUUAGAUACCCUGGUAGUCCACGCUGUAAAACGAUGUCGAUUUUGGAGGUUGUGCCCUUGAGGCGUGGCUUCCGGAGCUAACGCGUUAAAUCGACCGCCUGGGGAGUACGGCCGCAAGGUUAAAAC
RNAcentral lists this ribosomal RNA (553 nucleotides) under uncultured bacterium. Its description in RNAcentral is "partial 16S ribosomal RNA". It matches the Rfam family "Bacterial small subunit ribosomal RNA", at positions 355 to 900 of the family's 1533-position model. The record is from RNAcentral.